RNAcentral lists this ribosomal RNA (200 nucleotides) under uncultured bacterium. Its description in RNAcentral is "partial 16S ribosomal RNA". It matches the Rfam family "Bacterial small subunit ribosomal RNA", at positions 8 to 208 of the family's 1533-position model. The record is from RNAcentral.
AGAGUUUGAUCCUGGCUCAGGACGAACGCUGGCGGCGUGCCUAAUACAUGCAAGUCGUGCGCUUUUGGAUCUUCGGAUCCAGGGGAGCGGCGAACGGGUGAGUAACACGUGGGCAACCUGCCCGAACCAUUGGGAUAACGCCUGGAAACGGGUGCUAAUACCAGAUAGUCUUCUUCGCCGCCUGGCGGAGAAGGGAAAGG